RNAcentral lists this transfer RNA (64 nucleotides) under Micropterix calthella. RNAcentral's name for it is "tRNA-Asp". Lineage: Eukaryota; Metazoa; Arthropoda; Insecta; Lepidoptera; Micropterigidae. The record is from RNAcentral.
AAAAUUAGUUAAAUUUUAUAACAUAAAUAUGUCAUAUUUAAAUUAUUUUUAUAAAAAUAUUUUU